UAGCGAAAUUCCUUGUCGGGUAAGUUCCGACCUGCACGAAUGGCGUAACGAUGGCGGCGCUGUCUCCACCCGAGACUCAGUGAAAUUGAAAUCGCUGUGAAGAUGCAGUGUAUCCGCGGCUAGACGGAAAGACCCCGUGAACCUUUACUGUAGCUUUGCACUGGACUUUGAGCCUGCUUGUGUAGGAUAGGUGGGAGGCUUUGAAGCGUGGACGCCAGUUCGCGUGGAGCCAUCCUUGAAAUACCACCCUGGCAUGCUUGAGGUUCUAACUCUGGUCCGUGAUCCGGAUCGAGGACAGUGUAUGGUGGGCAGUUUGACUGGGGCGGUCUCCUCCUAAAGAGUAACGGAGGAGUACGAAGGUGCGCUCAGACCGGUCGGAAAUCGGUCGCAGAGUAUAAAGGCAAAAGCGCGCUUGACUGCGAGACAGACACGUCGAGCAGGUACGAAAGUAGGUCUUAGUGAUCCGGUGGUUCUGUAUGGAAGGGCCAUCGCUCAACGGAUAAAAGGUACUCCGGGGAUAACAGGCUGAUACCGCCCAAGAGUUCAUAUCGACGGCGGUGUUUGGCACCUCGAUGUCGGCUCAUCACAUCCUGGGGCUGAAGCCGGUCCCAAGGGUAUGGCUGUUCGCCAUUUAAAGUGGUACGCGAGCUGGGUUUAGAACGUCGUGAGACAGUUCGGUCCCUAUCUGCCGUGGACGUUUGAGAUUUGAGAGGGGCUGCUCCUAGUACGAGAGGACCGGAGUGGACGAACCUCUGGUGUUCCGGUUGUCACGCCAGUGGCAUUGCCGGGUAGCUAUGUUCGGAAAAGAUAACCGCUGAAAGCAUCUAAGCGGGAAACUUGCCUCAAGAUGAGAUCUCACUGGGAACUUGAUUCCCCUGAAGGGCCGUCGAAGACUACGACGUUGAUAGGCUGGGUGUGUAAGCGUUGUGAGGCGUUGAGCUAACCAGUACUAAUUGCCCGUGAGGCUUGACCAU
This 974-nucleotide ribosomal RNA is filed under the name Pseudomonas aeruginosa. RNAcentral describes it as "partial 23S ribosomal RNA". It matches the Rfam family "Bacterial large subunit ribosomal RNA", at positions 1957 to 2925 of the family's 2925-position model. The record is from RNAcentral. Lineage: Bacteria; Pseudomonadati; Pseudomonadota; Gammaproteobacteria; Pseudomonadales; Pseudomonadaceae.